UGUAUGUAUAUGUAUGUAUAUCUCCUUCAUCUUUUGUCUGGUCAGUGCUUUUGGUUCUUCGUUUAAUCUUGCCUCUUGCUCGAAUUCAUUACCUUUUUUGUGCAUCAUCGGUAUGUUUUCGUAUUUGAGCGAACUGAAUUUGGGUGAUUUUUGAGGCUUCAAUUGAUACUUGGCAAGAGAAUUUAGAGACCCGUAUCUUGGCGGGGCGACCCGGAAUGCAACCCGAGGUUGCAUAUCCAUGGCAAAUCAACAGCAAAACCAUGCAACGAUGUGCUGGAAAAGGGAAAAUAACACGGAUGUAAUGAUUAGUUUUACUGAUCAGAUGGACUUGGGUGUUAUUAUUUUACCUCUGCAUCUUGAUGGGUUUGCAGCCGUGGAAGUGUCGAAGAACUCAAUGUCUGAGAUCAAUUGCUUAGUAUGAGUCUCAAAUCUUAUCAAAACAAUCUGCAGAUUUGAUUUUAGCUUGUGGAUUUGCAGUGGGCAAAAUCUUAUACAUUCUUACUAGUAAUGGUCAAGUCUUGGACUGAAAAAUAUGUUUUACUAUAAGCUUUUUUACCUCUUAUGUCUAUUGAUGUUUCAUCUACCUUUUUUGUUCUUCUUUUCCAGCAGCUCCAAGGUUAGAUGGACUAUGCCACAGUCGACAAUAGAUACUUUUGAGUUGUUGGAACAAUGUGAGCAGCUAUGUUAGGCAGAAGAAAAGGCGAAACAUGUUACCAGCUUGUAUAUGGUGGAUAAGCCCAAAAGGAGAGGAAUGCUAGGCGUUUUGAAGAGAAGCAGCUCCAUCCAGAAGAUGAAGCUGAACUGCAUACUGCUUUUUCAUUUUUGUUGUAAAGAAAGAAGUGAAAAAUGAUGAUGAUUCUAUACUAAACAUUAGAGGUUUCUUGUAAAAUGAACAAAAUAUGUUUAGUUGUUGUUUUUCUGUUUUAUUUUUGAAAUAUGUACAGAGGCCUCAGCACAUCCUUUGUGCUGGUUGAUAUAAUACAAAUGUUACCAUUAUCAAAA
Long non-coding RNA from Solanum tuberosum (potato), 1002 nucleotides. RefSeq lists it as uncharacterized. The transcript is spliced from 2 exons. NCBI's taxonomy places the organism in Eukaryota, Viridiplantae, Streptophyta, Magnoliopsida, Solanales, Solanaceae. The record is from RefSeq and is a predicted model, not a curated record.